CCUAGCGUUGGAAAAGAAAAUACAACUUUCAGCAACGGAUCUCUUGGCUCUCGCAUCGAUGAAGGACGCAGCGAAUCGCGAUAAGUAAUGUGAAUUGCAGAUUUUCCGUGAAUCAUCGAAUCUUUGAACGCACCUUGCGCUCCUUGGUAUUCCGAGGAGCAUGCC
Molecule: ribosomal RNA, 165 nt
Filed under: Pisolithus albus
Lineage: Eukaryota; Fungi; Basidiomycota; Agaricomycetes; Boletales; Pisolithaceae
Description: 5.8S ribosomal RNA
Rfam family: 5.8S ribosomal RNA (bases 24-165)
About the family: 5.8S ribosomal RNA (5.8S rRNA) is a component of the large subunit of the eukaryotic ribosome.
Source: RNAcentral